This 497-nucleotide ribosomal RNA is filed under the name uncultured bacterium. RNAcentral describes it as "partial 16S ribosomal RNA". It matches the Rfam family "Bacterial small subunit ribosomal RNA", at positions 28 to 507 of the family's 1533-position model. The record is from RNAcentral.
GAUGAACGCUGGCGGCGUGCCUAAUACAUGCAAGUCGAGCGAACGGACGAGAAGCUUGCUUCUCUGAUGUUAGCGGCGGACGGGUGAGUAACACGUGGAUAACCUACCUAUAAGACUGGGAUAACUUCGGGAAACCGGAGCUAAUACCGGAUAAUAUUUUGAACCGCAUGGUUCAAAAGUGAAAGACGGUCUUGCUGUCACUUAUAGAUGGAUCCGCGCUGCAUUAGCUAGUUGGUAAGGUAACGGCUUACCAAGGCAACGAGGCAUAGCCGACGUGAGAGGGUGAUCGGCCACCCUGGAACUGAGACACGGUCCAGACUCCUAAGGGAGGCAGCAGUAGGGAAUCUUCCGCAAUGGGCGAAAGCCUGACGGAGCAACGCCGCGUGAGUGAUGAAGGUCUUCGGAUCGUAAAACUCUGUUAUUAGGGAAGAACAUAUGUGUAAGUAACUGUGCACAUAUUGACGGUACCUAAUCAGAAAGCCACGGCUAACUACGUG